Non-coding RNA from Potamilus streckersoni, 73 nucleotides. Lineage: Eukaryota; Metazoa; Mollusca; Bivalvia; Unionida; Unionidae. The record is from the annotation of a GenBank genome assembly.
GCUCCGAUGGCCUAGUGGUUAGAAUUUCCACCUCGGAUGCGAGAGGUCGUGGGUUCGAUUCCCGAUCGAGUCA